AGAUUGAACGCUGGCGGCAUGCCUUACACAUGCAAGUCGAACGCGAAAGGGGGGCAACCCCCCGAGUAGAGUGGCGAACGGGUGAGUAAUACAUCGGAACGUAUCCAGUAGCGGGGGAUAACCUCUCGAAAGAGAGGCUAAUACCGCAUACGACCUACGGGUGAAAGAGGGGGAUCGCAAGACCUCUCACUAUUGGAGCGGCCGAUGUCGGAUUAGCUAGUUGGCGGGUAACGCCCACCAAGGCUACGAUCCGUAGCUGGUCUGAGAGGACGACCAGCCACACUGGAACUGAGACACGGUCCAGACUCCUACGGGAGGCAGCAGUGGGGAAUUUGGACAAUGGGCGCAAGCCUGAUCCAGCCAUGCCGCGUGAGUGAAGAAGGCCUUGGGUUGUAAGUCUCGUUUCGGCGUGGGACGAAAGGUCCGGUAGUUAACGACCACGGAUCCAUGACGUACCACGACGAGAAGAACGACGACCGGACC
Molecule: ribosomal RNA, 483 nt
Filed under: uncultured soil bacterium
Lineage: Bacteria
Description: bacterial SSU rRNA
Rfam family: Bacterial small subunit ribosomal RNA
Source: RNAcentral